GACGAACGCUGGCGGCGCGCUUAACACAUGCAAGUCGAGCGAGAACCAUGGCUUCGGCCAUGGGGACAGCGGCGAACGGGUGAGUAACACGUGGGCAAUCUGCCCUCGGCACUGGGAUAGCCCGGGGAAACCCGGAUUAAUACCGGAUAGCCUCUCGAGCUCACGGGCUCGUGAGAAAAGAUGGCUUCGGCUUUCGGCUGAGGAGGAGCCUGCGGCGGAUUAGCNGUUGGCGGGGUAACGGCCCACCAAGGCGACGAUCUGUAGCUGGUCUGAGAGGACGAUCAGCCACACCGGGACUGAGACACGGCCCAGACUCCUACGGGAGGCAGCAGUGGGGAAUCUUGCGCAAUGGGCGAAAGCCUGACGCAGCGACGCCGCGUGAGGGAAGAAGG
This 392-nucleotide ribosomal RNA is filed under the name uncultured bacterium. RNAcentral's name for it is "bacterial SSU rRNA". It matches the Rfam family "Bacterial small subunit ribosomal RNA", at positions 28 to 414 of the family's 1533-position model. The record is from RNAcentral.